This 438-nucleotide ribosomal RNA is filed under the name uncultured bacterium. RNAcentral describes it as "bacterial SSU rRNA". It matches the Rfam family "Bacterial small subunit ribosomal RNA", at positions 338 to 793 of the family's 1533-position model. The record is from RNAcentral.
CCUACGGGGGGCAGCAGUGGGGAAUAUUGCACAAUGGGGGAAACCCUGAUGCAGCAACGCCGCGUGAGUGAAGAAGUAUUUCGGUAUGUAAAGCUCUAUCAGCAGGGAAGAAAAUGACAGUACCUGACUAAGAAGCCCCGGCUAACUACGUGCCAGCAGCCGCGGUAAUACGUAGGGGGCAAGCGUUAUCCGGAUUUACUGGGUGUAAAGGGAGCGUAGACGGCUGUGCAAGUCAGAAGUGAAAGCCCGGGGCUCAACCGCGGGACUGCUUUUGAAACUGUGUAGCUAGAGUGCAGGAGAGGUAAGUGGAAUUCCUAGUGUAGCGGUGAAAUGCGUAGAUAUUAGGAGGAACACCGGUGGCGAAGGCGGCUUACUGGACUGUAACUGACGUUGAGGCUCGAAAGCGUGGGGAGCAAACAGGAUUAGAUACCCUAGUAG